CAAGUAAGUCUGGAUGGAGAGAAGGAAAGCUCCGUCAUUUGGGUAAACAUCGGACCAACGCAGCGGCACACGUUAGUAAACAACUACCUCCGCUCUCGGGUUUUCCGCCCGGGACGGAGUCCGCGGUGAGAGGAAAGUGGCGCCGGAGAGGCUUUGGAUUUCUUCCAAACCGAGUAGAAACCAGAUCCCGCCGCGCGGCACUAGGCACGCUCGAGGCUGGCAGCCGCCCAACUAUAACAAAACGGCGGUGAAAAGGAACGCGUUAGCGCGCGCCUAGUCGGGAUGUAAAGGGCGGCGCGGUAGAGCCGGAGGCUAGACUAAAAUAGCCGGAGUCCAGAUAGAUGGGGUUAAAAAGCCUCGGGUGACAGACCGAGUAAAACUUUCCCAAACUAGGGGUUAAGAUAAUUGGUGGCUAGAGCCGGAAGCGACGGAGAGAAGAGACAGCAGUGGGGCCGGUCCGGCUCUAGCACGGUCGAGGGGAGGCUCCAAUUCGAUCAGAAUAAUCGGACGGAGAAGAGCGUGGCUAACCCACAAGCGCAGUCGAAGACGGAGGCGCGCCAACUCCCCCCAGCGUGACGAACGGCAACCAGAUCCCGUGGCUAUUUUUGGGCCGCCGCCUGGCCGACAUCCGCCAGCUUUCCGAAAUCAUUCGUAGCCAACGGUGAAGCAAAGUCAGGGCCAGACUAGAAUUUAACUGGUCCGGGACAAACGGGGCUUAGAAAAUUUGUCGGAGGGGUGGGCCCUACAUCCCGAUACUUUCCCACUGACGGGAAACUACCGGGAUGAUGGAAAGCCCGACGUUGUCUUCUGGUGAUAACUUAUAUGGCCGACGGGAGGGCCCGCCGUGCAGGAGUCGCUGGUGGCGCGCACCGCCCGAAAACAAUCAAACCGAGAUGAUAAACGCUGUUAAGUCGUUGACUAAGAGUGGCGUAAUGGCCAGCGGCGUCCCGUUCACUCCACCGGGACCCAAUAUUUGGCAUUUUUGGGCAAAGACACUGUCAUUUCAGCGCCAGGCCACCGAUGGCGGACCAAUGAAAGGCAUUUAGCGGGAGGGCGAUACGGCGGACAAAGGGGAAGCCGAGCCAAGCGCCAUAUGGCGAAAAGAAGUUUUUGGGGCUGGUUAACUUAGAGGCGGGAAGUGGCUUCCCCAGCACGGAGGUCGAGCCUUCCAAGUGGGUGGUAACUAAACGGCAGCGACCAUUAAAUGUCUAGGCAGCGAAGUUCGAAAAACAUUUUUUCGCUGGCCGUGGAAAAAUUCCGGCGGGAAGUGCCUUUCCCUGGAUAAGAAGGCCGUUACCCAGCGGUACGACCUCCGAAUUUCCCCACAUCCAUCCUUAAUACAAAUUAUUACGUCCUUCUUAAAUUCUUACCGACCGAUAAUUAAAGUGACCGAGGUAGUGUUUGUUGAUCACUUUCUGGCACAAAAAAACCUGGACUAUUAAUAGCUCGUCUCCUCCUUCCUCGGAAGAAAAUUUCCCCAUUAUUCCCGUUAAAAAUUUCCCCGGCUGGUGUUGGCCCGCAGUUUCUUCGCACCUAUUCCAACCGUUAUUUGGCCGGUCUUCCCAGAUUUUUCUCGGUCGUGUUUCCCAUCAGACCCGGCUAGAAAAACUCCUCGGGAUUUAACUCCCUCCUACC
Molecule: long non-coding RNA, 1635 nt
Filed under: Androctonus crassicauda
Lineage: Eukaryota; Metazoa; Arthropoda; Arachnida; Scorpiones; Buthidae
Source: RNAcentral